Molecule: ribosomal RNA, 497 nt
Filed under: uncultured bacterium
Lineage: Bacteria
Description: partial 16S ribosomal RNA
Rfam family: Bacterial small subunit ribosomal RNA
Source: RNAcentral
GAUGAACGCUGGCGGCGUGCCUAAUACAUGCAAGUCGAGCGAACGGACGAGAAGCUUGCUUCUCUGGUGUUAGCGGCGGACGGGUGAGUAACACGUGGAUAACCUACCUAUAAGACUGGGAUAACUUCGGGAAACCGGAGCUAAUACCGGAUAAUAUUUUGAACCGCAUGGUUCAAAAGUGAAAGACGGUCUUGCUGUCACUUAUAGAUGGAUCCGCGCUGCAUUAGCUAGUUGGUAAGGUAACGGCUCACCAAGGCAACGAUGUAUAGCCGACCUGAGAGGGUGAUCGGCCACACUGGAACUGAGACACGGUCCAGACUCCUACGGGAGGCAGCAGUAGGGAAUCUUCCGCAAAGGGCGAAAGCCUGACGGAGCAACGCCGCGUGAGUGAUGAAGGUCUUCGGAUCGUAAAACUCUGUUAUUAGGGAAGAACAUAUGUGUAAGUAACUGUGCACAUCUUGACGGUACCUAAUCAGAAAGCCACGGCUAACUACGUG